Molecule: transfer RNA, 75 nt
Filed under: Anaerobutyricum hallii
Lineage: Bacteria; Bacillati; Bacillota; Clostridia; Lachnospirales; Lachnospiraceae
Also listed under: 3 other names
Description: tRNA-Thr(cgt)
Rfam family: tRNA
About the family: Transfer RNA (tRNA) molecules are approximately 80 nucleotides in length. Their secondary structure includes four short double-helical elements and three loops (D, anti-codon, and T loops).
Source: RNAcentral
AGCUUCCUUGGCUCAGUUGGUAGAGCGACGCAUUCGUAAUGCGUAGGUCGCCGGUUCAAGUCCGGCAGGGAGCUU